CUGCCCCCUACCGUGGAGUUCUUGGUGCCGUGAGUUGGAGUUCUUGGUGCCUGGGUGCGUCCCCAAGGCCACUGGUCUUCAGAUCUUUCUUACUUGAGAAGAACGCCUCCGCCUCCUGGCUCUCCCACCAGUGGUACUGCCACCACCACACACCAGCAUAAAGCACAGAUUGCUGCCCAGCUCCUUGGAGAGGGGCCAGUGCAUUUGUCAGGAAUUGAAAAGUUUUGGAGCCAGUUCGAGGACUUUCUGCUGCACAAAGUGUUGGCUGGAAGCAUGAAACAAUAACACGUGGUUUGCCAAAGAAUCUGCAUUGAAUAAUACUGGUGGUGACCACAAGAACAUGCCUCUCUGACUGCAAGGAACAAGAGUGACCCAGGGUUUCAGCUGCUGCCUUGGAAUUUCAUCACAGUGCGAGUCUAUGCUUCCCACGGGCUGCUCCCAGCCUGUGAAUAAGCCUGGCAUCUUUGUUGAGGCAGGCCUAUUUCUGGAGAUGCAGGAUCCUCCGAUGGGCGAAUUUGGCUCUAGGACUGCUUGAUGGCCUUGACAGACUUUCCUUAGAAAUGCAUGGCAAUUUAGGGUUCCUCCACCCUUCCCUCUUUCUCUCCUUCACCUAGGGUCGGACUUGCAUCAUGGCCUGAAAGCUCCACCAGCCUCUCCUGCCCUCCUCCUCAUUUUCUU
RNAcentral lists this long non-coding RNA (678 nucleotides) under Pan troglodytes (chimpanzee). Its description in RNAcentral is "long non-coding RNA NONPTRT010121". The record is from RNAcentral. Lineage: Eukaryota; Metazoa; Chordata; Mammalia; Primates; Hominidae.